AUGGUUUGCGGGAAAACUCUUCUCUCUCUGGUCUCACUUCGAGUCCUUCUAGAAGUAAAUAAAGGAAAUGCUUAUUCAACUACGGCACUGUCGGACAACCGACCGGAUUCAAGCCCUAGCCCCUCAACUUGGACGGUGAAAGUGCGUUAUAUCGACUAG
RNAcentral lists this ribosomal RNA (159 nucleotides) under Triticum aestivum (bread wheat). Its description in RNAcentral is "partial small subunit ribosomal RNA". Lineage: Eukaryota; Viridiplantae; Streptophyta; Magnoliopsida; Poales; Poaceae. The record is from RNAcentral.